AUCGCAUCAUCAUCAUGUGACGCGCUAGGGCGCGCUUAACGACUUUACUGUGUGCUCAGUGAUACCCAACGAGUUGUUGAGAGCCGGUAUUGCAGUCACCAGUUACCUUGCCUGACCAUUGAAGUUUCCACGUGAGCAUCGGAGUCAAUAUCAAAUUCGUUAUAUCGAUCGACAUCAUGGUGCUGAAAUACUUAUCUGCCUACGUAAGAAAUAAAUUAAGAAUGGAGCGCAAAAAGAUGCCUACAUCGGAUGGAAGUCUUUCUUAGUGAUCAGUGAUUAAUUCAACAUCCUACAGUUCUACACACGACUCCAUUUUGAGUUUUCCGUACUGGUAAAUGACGUUACAGCGUUUAUUUACUACCCACAGAAUGCAUCAAAAUAUCGAUAGUAGAUACUGUGUUUACGAAAAACAUAAAGAUUAACAAAUUAACAAUGCUUCACACAAGGACAUAAUGUCAAUUACCUAUAAUGGUCAUUGUCAUUGGAAUCGACAAAAUGAAAACUUCAUGGCUUGUCAAGAUUUUGUUACACUGCCCAUAUUAUUAUUUAGUUAUGAGUUAGUUUCAGUUCAAA
This is a long non-coding RNA of Ostrinia nubilalis (European corn borer), 573 nucleotides long. RefSeq lists it as uncharacterized. The transcript has 3 exons. The record is from RefSeq and is a predicted model, not a curated record. Lineage: Eukaryota; Metazoa; Arthropoda; Insecta; Lepidoptera; Crambidae.